This 537-nucleotide ribosomal RNA is filed under the name uncultured bacterium. RNAcentral describes it as "bacterial SSU rRNA". It matches the Rfam family "Bacterial small subunit ribosomal RNA", at positions 777 to 1318 of the family's 1533-position model. The record is from RNAcentral.
AAUAGAUACCCUGGUAGUCCACGCCCUAAACGAUGUUCACUAGGUGUCGGGGGUAACCUUCGGUGCCGCAGCUAACGCAUUAAGUGAACCGCCUGGGGACUACGGCCGCAAGGUUGAAACUCAAAGGAAUUGGCGGGGACCGCACAAGCGGUGGAGCAUGUGGCUUAAUUCGAUGCAACGCGAAGAACCUUACCAGGGCUUGACAUGUAUCUGCAAGCGAUAGAAAUAUCGUCUCCUUCGAGGGUGAUACACAGGUGGUGCAUGGCUGUCGUCAGCUCGUGUUGUGAAAUGUUGGGUUAAGUCCCGCAACGAGCGCAACCCUCAUUGUCUGUUACCAGCGAGUAAAGUCGGGGACUCGGACAAACUGCCUCUGUAAGGAGGAGGAAGGUGGGGAUGACGUCAAGGUCAUCAUGCCCCUUACGCCCUGGGCUGCACACAUGCUACAAUGGCCGGUACAAAGGGGUUGCUAACCGUGCGAAGGUAUGCUAAGUCUCAAAAACCCGGUCUCAGUUCGGAUUGAGGUCUGCAACUCGACCU